UACCUAGGGUUGAGAAGCAACGAUGCGACGCAAACUUGUUUGCAGGAGCAGCGGGGAUUCGAAACCCGUACCACAUGAGCAAGCAGCCAUUUUCGCAGAAAAUGAGCGGAUUGCGAAUGCGGCUGGAUUGCGAGAGUGCGAAGCACGGAGCAAUCCGAGAGG
This 162-nucleotide small RNA is filed under the name uncultured Acetatifactor sp. RNAcentral's name for it is "Clostridiales-1 RNA". It matches the Rfam family "Clostridiales-1 RNA". The record is from RNAcentral. Lineage: Bacteria; Bacillati; Bacillota; Clostridia; Lachnospirales; Lachnospiraceae.